UGUGUCUUACCUUCCAAUGUUCCUCUUUUAAGCUAACCUCAUCUUAAUCUUAUCUCACAACCUCAACCGAAAUUUAUGACCGAAGGUCCUACUACCUGUUAGGGAACGAGGAGUGUGAACAAUUUGACAGCACAGAAUUAUCUCCCUCCCCGUCAUGCAUCCCACAUAAACCAGCCUCCCACCAGACCAGAGUGACCUGUCAGGCAAGGGACCAACAAGGUCCUACCCCGUCAUUCACAUCAACAGGCAUCCACAGGAUGAGAGCCUAAAAAAGCUGCCUCUGCUGUAGAAAUACAAUGCCAACAAGCAAAGGGGUAAUUACUUUGCAGACUAACAAAAAGUGACAAAAAUGAUGUUGGAAAGAUAGAAAACAAUGUCAUUGUUUCCAGCUUUUCUAAAUUUAUUGUGCAUCAGUUGCCUUCCCAGCAAUAGCGUUCAUUACCAUAUGGAGAGAGAAUGUUCAAAGUGAGACGCACACUUCCAGAUGGUGGCAACUCCUACCCAAGACUAUUUUCAUCAUCCUUUUUAUUCUUCUAUUUUUUUUUAAUCAUCACUUUGUGGUAAGAGUUUUGGUGAAGAGCAGUAUCCAAGGCAUUUAAGUCCUUUAGAAAAGAACAGAUUGAACUAAUAGACAAGACCCCAGCAGCAAUCACCUUUUUCCUCCCCCAAGAGCCAAGUUGGUCAUGCCCCUGCAUCACCCAUCAUAAUGUCUGAUCAGGACAGCAUAAGAAUAUAGUGUUCUGGGAAAAAAUAAAGCUAAAUCACGUAACUUCGACUUCAGCAGAAGAACGGUAUUUCAUGCUGUUUGGACAAACAGAGCUGUCAAUUGAAAGCACUUUGGCAUUGGCAAUAGAAAUAUAAAUUACAGGAAAUUUUCCCACACCAAGGUGGUUCACAAUUCCUGAUGCUCAAGGGAACUGCCUAUCUGGCAUCAGAAUUAUUUAACUCUUUCUUAGUGACCAUCAACGUGUUUUGAUGGCCAAAUUCCUCGACUCAUGCGUAGAAUAGCUCAAUUGUGAUCAGAGUUAAUUCACUAACCGACAAUAACAAAACCCACAGUUCCAGAUUUAAUAUACAAGAGAUACUGAAGUGUUUGAAUUAAAGCUUAUAGGCUAACAGAAGAUUUUAUGUCUGCAUGAAAUAAAGAAGAGCUACUUAUUCAGUGUGAAACAUGGUACAUCAGAUCGUACGCUUAGCAACAUGACAUCAGAUCGUACGCUUAGCAACAUGAAUGGGUUAGCUGAGCAAUUUAAUGGUAAUUUUGGUGGUAAGCAGAGUCUUUUGAUGCAAGUGAUUAAUAUGCUCCUAAUGUGCUAUGGCAACUGAAACAGCUAAGAAGAAUAUUAAAAGAGGCAUCAUCUUGUAGGCACUCCGUUGAAAAUCCACAACAAGAGCAUUCACGUGGACAACAUAAUUUUGUUACAGACC
Molecule: long non-coding RNA, 1428 nt
Filed under: Elaeis guineensis (African oil palm)
Lineage: Eukaryota; Viridiplantae; Streptophyta; Magnoliopsida; Arecales; Arecaceae
Description: long non-coding RNA (EGUI_LNC027377)
Source: RNAcentral